AGUGAACGCUGGCGGCGUGCCUAAUACAUGCAAGUCGAACGGAGUGGCGCACGGGUGAGUAAUAUAUAGCUAAUCUGCCCCUUGCUGGAGGACAACAGUUAGAAAUGACUGCUAAUACUCCAUAGCAAGGGAUGAGACGAUAUCGUAUCAGCUAGUCGGUGGGGUAACGGCCUACCGAGGCUAUGACGCGUAACUGGUCUGAGAGGAUGAUCAGUCACAUUGGAACUGAGACACGGUCCGAACUCCUACGGGAGGGAGCAGAAGGGAAUAGUGCGCAAUGGGGGAAGCGCUGACGCAGCAACGCCGCGUGAAGUCUGACACUUGUCAGAACGUAAACUCCUUUUGUUAGGGAGGCGGUACCUAACUAAUAAGCACCGGCUAACUCCGUGCCAGCAGCCGCGGUAAUAC
Molecule: ribosomal RNA, 408 nt
Filed under: uncultured bacterium
Lineage: Bacteria
Description: partial 16S ribosomal RNA
Rfam family: Bacterial small subunit ribosomal RNA
Source: RNAcentral